This is an RNA transcript of Hordeum vulgare subsp. vulgare (domesticated barley), 1387 nucleotides long. It is a transcript of the gene named V-type proton ATPase subunit D, with no coding region annotated. NCBI's taxonomy places the organism in Eukaryota, Viridiplantae, Streptophyta, Magnoliopsida, Poales, Poaceae. The record is from RefSeq and is a predicted model, not a curated record. The transcript is spliced from 3 exons.
CUCGAUCCCAUCCGAUCCAAGUACCGUAUUUGUUUGUCAUCACAAUCACAAUAUUAAAGAAUCGUGAUCUCCCCCUAUCUCCUCCGCGUUCCCCUUCCCCUUCCUCCCUGUCUCCUGCCUCCCCUCCUCCUCCUCCUCUCAGAUCUCCGGCGACAAGAAGAUGUCGGGGCAGACGCAGAGACUGAACGUGGUGCCGACGGUGACGAUGCUCGGGGUGGUGAAGGCGCGCCUGAUCGGCGCCACGCGGGGGCACGCGCUGCUCAAGAAGAAGUCGGACGCGCUCACCGUGCAGUUCCGCGCCAUCCUCAAGAAGAUCGUCGCCACCAAGGAGUCCAUGGGCGAGGCCAUGCGCGCCUCCUCCUUCUCGCUCGCCGAGGCCAAGUACGUGGCCGGCGACGGCGUGCGCCACGUCGUGCUCCAGUCCGUCCGCUCCGCCUCGCUCCGCGUCCGCUCCCACCAGGAGAACGUCGCCGGGGUCAAGCUGCCCAAGUUCACCCACUUCGUCGACCCCGCUGGCGCCUCCUCCCCCAGCCUCACCGGCCUCGCGCGCGGCGGCCAGCAGGUCUCCGCCUGCCGCGCCGCCCACGUCAAGGCCAUCGAGGUGCUCGUCGAGCUCGCCUCCCUCCAGACCUCCUUCCUCACCCUCGACGAGGCCAUCAAGACCACCAACCGCCGCGUCAACGCCCUCGAGAACGUCGUCAAGCCCAGGCUCGAGAACACCAUCACAUACAUCAAGGGCGAGCUCGACGAGCUCGAGCGCGAGGACUUCUUCAGGCUCAAGAAGAUCCAGGGCUACAAGAGGAGGGAGGUCGAGCGCCAGAUGAUGGCGGCCAAGCUCUUCGCCGAGGAGCAGCUCGCCGAGGAUCUCGCCCUCAAGAGGGGCGUCUCCAUGGGGGCCACGACCAACAUACUGGUUGGCGGCGGCGACAAGGACGAAGACAUCAUCUUCUGAUCUGAUCUCAUCGUCACCCCUGCUCUCCAAUUAUUAUUCAAUCGGAGCAACAUAGAGCAACUUUGUUUCCCCUUCUUAGCGUUACUUGCUGUCUGGGUCUCCCUAAGAAAGGAAUCCUCGCUCUACCUUGCUGAAAAGCAAGGGAAGGCCGGAGUAGACGUGCAUUUCUGCCAUGCGGUGGACACAAUAAGUUGUGGUGCUGGAGCCCCAGAAUGGCAUCUGUUUAUAGAGUGGCGGAGGUUUUGUUUCAGGCAGGCUGUGUGCAGCCUGAUUUGUGGCCCAAGACACAAAAUAAUCUCUCUUCUGUACUUUGGAAACCAAACAUUUGCUGGUGAAACUAGUGGCUAUGUGCAGUAGUAAAUUCUUUUGUACUGUAUUUCAUUUCCCUGCACGCUCGCUUUAGUUACAUAUAUAUUUAUUCAGACAUUGUGUAUC